Potamilus streckersoni is the source of this 72-nucleotide non-coding RNA. NCBI's taxonomy places the organism in Eukaryota, Metazoa, Mollusca, Bivalvia, Unionida, Unionidae. The record is from the annotation of a GenBank genome assembly.
GCUCCGGUGGCCUAGUGGUUAUAGCGCCGCCUCGGAUGCGAGACGUGGUGGGUUCGAUCCCCGGUCGAGUCA